GUUUCCAUAGUGUAGUGGUUAUCACGUUUGCUUUACACGCGAAAAGGUCCCCAGUUCGAAACUGGGUGGAAACA
This 74-nucleotide transfer RNA is filed under the name Alosa alosa (allis shad). RNAcentral describes it as "tRNA-Val". It matches the Rfam family "tRNA". From Rfam's summary of the family: Transfer RNA (tRNA) molecules are approximately 80 nucleotides in length. Their secondary structure includes four short double-helical elements and three loops (D, anti-codon, and T loops). The record is from RNAcentral. Lineage: Eukaryota; Metazoa; Chordata; Actinopteri; Clupeiformes; Clupeidae.